GAUGAACGCUGGCGGCGUGCUUAACACAUGCAAGUCGAACGAAGCACCUUGAUUUCUUCGGAUUGAUUGGUGACUGAGUGGCGGACGGGUGAGUAACGCGUGGGUAACCUGCCUCACACAGGGGGAUAACAGUUAGAAAUGACUGCUAAUACCGCAUAAGACCACAGUACCGCAUGGUACAGUGAUAAAAACUCCGGUGGUGUGAGAUGGACCCGCGUCUGAUUAGCUAGUUGGUGAGGUAACGGCUCACCAAGGCGACGAUCAGUAGCCGACCUGAGAGGGUGACCGGCCACAUUGGGACUGAGACACGGCCCAA
This 316-nucleotide ribosomal RNA is filed under the name uncultured bacterium. RNAcentral's name for it is "bacterial SSU rRNA". It matches the Rfam family "Bacterial small subunit ribosomal RNA", at positions 28 to 334 of the family's 1533-position model. The record is from RNAcentral.